Molecule: long non-coding RNA, 327 nt
Filed under: Vigna radiata
Lineage: Eukaryota; Viridiplantae; Streptophyta; Magnoliopsida; Fabales; Fabaceae
Description: long non-coding RNA (VRAD_LNC015686)
Source: RNAcentral
ACCCUCAAACUCUCAAUACCAUCCUACCCACACUCUUGGUCAAAGAGUGUAGAUAAGCAUCCCACAAAAUACUAUAAUUCAUACAUGGUAAUAAGGAAACAAGAUGCACACAAUAUAACAUGAUUUUAAGUGUACCCAUAAAACUUUUUCAUACACAUACAAUCUUCUUGUCACCAACUCUAAGGAUCCUCAAUCUCAAGAGCUCGCUUGCUUUAAUAGUCUUGACAACCCAUAACCUAAUUUUGAAUUUCAUUGAUGUGCCAGGUUAGGGUUUGUCACUUUUCACAUCAGGGUGUUGGUGAACCAAUUCUCCUUCCUUAUCUGCCU